CCCAUCGCUUUUCUGAUUGUCCACCAUUUAUAGUGCUUGUGUCCCUGACUCCAUUUACAUGUUACGAGAGCAAUUUCAACAUGCAUCAUGUCUUAUAUUCUAUAUAUGAAGCACUAUUGUUUUCCUUUUUAUAGCUUCGUACAAAAUAGACAUAGUAUUUGUCAUGGAUAAAUCUGGAAGUAUUGGGCUAGGAAAUUUCAACCUGGAGAAACAAUUUGUUGCAAAUUUGAUUGAAUAUUUUCCAAUUUUCCCCUCCAAAACUCGAGUGGCUAUCGUCACAUAUUCAACUCAUGUAAAAGUGGAGUUCAACUUUAAUAAAUAUAUCAAUAAAGAAUGUUUACGGAAAGGCAUUCAAGAUAUAAGGUA
Non-coding RNA from Paramuricea clavata, 366 nucleotides. Lineage: Eukaryota; Metazoa; Cnidaria; Anthozoa; Malacalcyonacea; Plexauridae. The record is from the annotation of a GenBank genome assembly.